GACUUUGGUAAGAGCUCCUCUGUGAACGUGU
RNAcentral lists this non-coding RNA (31 nucleotides) under Macaca fascicularis (crab-eating macaque). Lineage: Eukaryota; Metazoa; Chordata; Mammalia; Primates; Cercopithecidae. The record is from RNAcentral. RNAcentral also lists the same sequence under 1 other name.